AAUUUGUCUGCACUGCUACAAUGCUUUUUUGGCUGAGAUAUCAUACAGAACGGGAAAUUUCACAGUCACUGUUAAUUAUGUCAUUUUCCAACGAGCCUGCCUUGAAAACGACUUUCCAAGUGCUGCCCGCAUCCAGCCAUUUACAGUUCCAUUAUGCACAUUGAACAGCACCACAUACAAGAAGAAAGAACAGGAGCUGGUUUCUUCAAAGCCUGACAAUGGUGAGAAGGUACUAUCGAUGAGAUGAGCUUGCAAGAUUCGUGUGUACAGUAUACCUUCACACCACCUAAGGAGCUAUUUCUCACUUGCUGCAUGUACUGAGAUCCCGGAGAAAACAAGAAAGAUAUAAAUAAAGUGUCAACAAAGAGGGUGAAAAAAAGAGGUGCAAGGUGGAGAGUGAACUAUACUCAACAUAAUAUGAGUGGGAAAUGGAUGAGUUUUUAAAGCUGUUUGCUCCAAAGCUAACAAAUCCUAAAUGAUAAAGGUGAAGGUAAAUUAAUUGUUCAGUUUGUUUCCUUAUAGGCUCGUUUCUGCUGUUGCUUAUCUAAGAGUGUAUAAGCUCAGCAUUAAAAAAAGCUACAGUAAGUACAUAGUUUCAUACAUUUAACUUUAUUUUAUCAGGUGACAAAAUAAAGAACAUUUUCAAAAUGAUUUAAAUGUACAAUUAAUUGAUAAAACAUAAUCAUGACGGAGCUAUACAGCUUUAAG
Molecule: long non-coding RNA, 708 nt
Organism: Polypterus senegalus (gray bichir)
Lineage: Eukaryota; Metazoa; Chordata; Cladistia; Polypteriformes; Polypteridae
Exons: 3
Source: RefSeq, a predicted model, not a curated record